ACGCUGGCGGCGUGCCUAAUACAUGCAAGUCGAGCGAACGGACGAGAAGCUUGCUUCUCUGAUGUUAGCGGCGGACGGGUGAGUAACACGUGGAUAACCUACCUAUAAGACUGGGAUAACUUCGGGAAACCGGAGCUAAUACCGGAUAAUAUUUUGAACCGCAUGGUUCAAAAGUGAAAGGCGGUCUUGCUGUCACUUAUAGAUGGAUCCGCGCUGCAUUAGCUAGUUGGUAAGGUAACGGCUUACCAAGGCAACGAUGCAUAGCCGACCUGAGAGGGUGAUCGGCCACACUGGAACUGAGACACGGUCCAGACUCCUACGGGAGGCAGCAGUAGGGAAUCUUCCGCAAUGGGCGAAAGCCUGACGGAGCAACGCCGCGUGAGUGAUGAAGGUCUUCGGAUCGUAAAACUCUGUUAUUAGGGAAGAACAUAUGUGUAAGUAACUGUGCACAUCUUGACGGUACCUAAUCAGAAAGCCACGGCUAACUACGUGCCAGCAGCCGCGGUAAUACGUAGGUGGCAAGCGUUAUCCGGAAUUAUUGGGCGUAAAGCGCGCGUAGGCGGUUUUUUAAGUCUGAUGUGAAAGCCCACGGCUCAACCGUGGAGGGUCAUUGGAAACUGGAAAACUUGAGUGCAGAAGAGGAAAGUGGAAUUCCAUGUGUAGCGGUGAAAUGCGCAGAGAUAUGGAGGAACACCAGUGGCGAAGGCGACUUUCUGGUCUGUAACUGACGCUGAUGUGCGAAAGCGUG
Molecule: ribosomal RNA, 748 nt
Filed under: uncultured bacterium
Lineage: Bacteria
Description: bacterial SSU rRNA
Rfam family: Bacterial small subunit ribosomal RNA
Source: RNAcentral